AUCUCUUCUCAGCCUUUUGGCUAAAAAAUCUAGUAUCUAUUCUUAUCAGUUUAAUAUCUGAUACAUCAUUUAUACAACAUUUUAAAAAAGAAAUAGAAUGACAAACUGGAGUGACAGUACAGGGGUUUAGACAUUUGGCUUGCAUUGUGACCAAUUCCAGUUUGAUCCUCAGUGCUGCAUAU
Small nuclear RNA from Suncus etruscus (white-toothed pygmy shrew), 182 nucleotides. RefSeq annotates it as U2 spliceosomal RNA. The record is from RefSeq and is a predicted model, not a curated record. The transcript has a single exon. NCBI's taxonomy places the organism in Eukaryota, Metazoa, Chordata, Mammalia, Eulipotyphla, Soricidae.